UACGAAGGGGGCUAGCGUUGCUCGGAAUCACUGGGCGUAAAGCGCACGUAGGCGGCUUUUUAAGUCAGAGGUGAAAUCCUGGAGCUCAACUCCAGAACUGCCUUUGAUACUGAGAGGCUUGAGUCCGGGAGAGGUGAGUGGAACUGCGAGUGUAGAGGUGAAAUUCGUAGAUAUUCGCAAGAACACCAGUGGCGAAGGCGGCUCACUGGCCCGGUACUGACGCUGAGACGCGAAAGCGUGGGGAGCGAACAGG
Molecule: ribosomal RNA, 253 nt
Filed under: uncultured bacterium
Lineage: Bacteria
Description: partial 16S ribosomal RNA
Rfam family: Bacterial small subunit ribosomal RNA
Source: RNAcentral